UGUCUCCUCAAAUCUGGAUGUUGCUCAGUUCUCUCCUCAGCUCUCUCUGAUGAACACUCACAGUUAAUCGAGCUGGACCUGAGCUACAAUGACCUGGAGGAAUCAGGAGUUAAUGAGCUUUGUGAGGGGCUGAGGAGCAAAAACUGCAAAUUACAAAAACUGAGGGUACAGCAUAAUAAGAUCAGUGAGGAAGUGAAGAGGAGCCUUCAGUCGCUGGUGGAGGAGCUGAACAGAUCAGGACGGAGGGUAGAGAUCUCUACAUGAGAAGAGCAGACAUUAAAUAACUGUGAUGAACGACUUGGAACAAGAUGCUUGGCUUGUACUCUUCAGAGAACACUGAGAAGGUGAAAAGGAACCUGAAGUCACUACAAGAGGAAUUGAUCAGAUCAGGAUGGUGGAUAGACAUCUUUACAUGAGAAGAGCAGCUUUGUGACCAGACUGACCGCCCAGUGAUGAAGAUUUAUCUUUGGACUUUCUCCAACUUAUUAUUUUAAAGAUUUGACUCAGAACUUUAUUUGUCAUCAGGGGAAAUUAGGGCAUUUUAAAGAGGUUCUUUAAAUGAAUAAAUACAUAAAUAGAUUGAUAUACACACACACUGCGGUCUGAACACACACCAGUAUGACUAAAAAGGAAGAAAAGUUUAAAAAGAAAGAAAAGAAAAACUCUGAUGGUCACAGUCACAUGUGGCAUUAUUCAGGCGUAUUGCUGUAGGUAUAAAGGAGUCCCCACUGUGUUUAUUGACACACUCCUGCUGAAUGAUUUGUUGGCUGGAAGUCCUCACUGCUGGUGUGGUGUGUCACAGAGAGGAUGUACCUUAUUGUUCAUAAUGGCGCCCAGUUUUGUUUUAAUUCUCUCCUUUGCUGUUGCCUACAGGGGGUCCAGAGUCGCUCCUAUUAUUGAGCCUUCUCUUUUAAUUAGCAUGUUGAACUGGUGGGCCUCUCCUGAAGUGAUGUUACCAGCCCAGCACACCUUAGCAUAGAGGACUGCAGUGGCCAUCACAGAGUUACAGAAGAAGUGAAGGAUGAGAGGGGAGUCCUAGUGGGUCUACAAAUCUGCUCUAUGUGUCGGCCUAUAUUCAGCCAAUAAAUGUGUUUUGAAAUGCUUUCCUUCAUCUUGGACCCCCAAGCCGUGGAUGUGAGCAAUUUUUAAAACUGUCUCUCUAUUCUGUUCGAUCUGCCUAUCCCCAAUGCAAUCAGA
Molecule: long non-coding RNA, 1197 nt
Organism: Polypterus senegalus (gray bichir)
Lineage: Eukaryota; Metazoa; Chordata; Cladistia; Polypteriformes; Polypteridae
Exons: 3
Source: RefSeq, a predicted model, not a curated record